This 465-nucleotide ribosomal RNA is filed under the name uncultured bacterium. RNAcentral describes it as "partial 16S ribosomal RNA". It matches the Rfam family "Bacterial small subunit ribosomal RNA", at positions 338 to 795 of the family's 1533-position model. The record is from RNAcentral.
CCUACGGGUGGCAGCAGUAGGGAAUCUUCCACAAUGGACGAAAGUCUGAUGGAGCAACGCCGCGUGAGUGAAGAAGGGUUUCGGCUCGUAAAGCUCUGUUGUUAGUGAAGAAAGAUAGAGGUAGUAACUGGCCUUUAUUUGACGGUACUUACUUAGAAAGUCACGGCUAACUACGUGCCAGCAGCCGCGGUAAUACGUAGGUGGCAAGCGUUGUCCGGAUGUAUUGGGCGUAAAGCGAGUGCAGGCGGGUCAAUAAGUAUGAUGUGAAAGUCGUCGGUUCAACCGGAGAAUUGAAUCAGAAACUGUUGAACUGGAGUGCAGAAGAGGAGAGUGGAACUCCAGGUGUAGCGGUGGAAUGCGUAGAUAUAUGGAAGAACACCAGUGGCGAAGGCGGCUUUCUGGUCUGCAACUGACGCUGAGGCUCGAAAGCAUGGGGAGCGAACAGGAUUAGAUACCCUUGUAGUC